CACAGGUAUACAGACCUAUAGCUGACAUCAACCAUAAUGUGUACGAUAUUAAUAAGUCUGCUUGUAAUUUCUUCAAUAUUUUCGACCUGCGUUUAUACUAGUCCAAUACAAGCCACUUUAACGACGGAAGUGACGUGUCCGCAUCUGCCUUGUCCAUGGCCCGGUACAUGUGAGAACCCACGUCAGACAUGGUUUGAGUAUAAAGGUAAAAAAUGUCCCGGAUGUACAUACUGUGAUAAACAGGUUGGUCGUGACUUGAAACGUGAAGAAUAUGUUCGACCUGCUGAAUGUCCUUUAUUCAAGUGUCGCGAUCCUGGUUGUUCGAGUGAAAACUACGUAUGGCGCAUGAUCAACUUUAAAGGUGUGACAUGUCGUGGUUGUCCAUACUGUAAACCUAUGUAGAUUUGGACAUUUUUAAAUGUACACUGAUCAUUAAAAGAUGCUUUUAAGAUAA
This is a long non-coding RNA of Patella vulgata (common limpet), 454 nucleotides long. RefSeq lists it as uncharacterized. The record is from RefSeq and is a predicted model, not a curated record. Lineage: Eukaryota; Metazoa; Mollusca; Gastropoda; Patellidae. The transcript is spliced from 4 exons.